This 483-nucleotide ribosomal RNA is filed under the name uncultured bacterium. RNAcentral's name for it is "partial 16S ribosomal RNA". It matches the Rfam family "Bacterial small subunit ribosomal RNA", at positions 28 to 523 of the family's 1533-position model. The record is from RNAcentral.
GACGAACGCUGGCGGCGUGCUUUACACAUGCAAGUCGAACGGUGAAGGUGGAGCUUGCUCCGCCGGAUCAGUGGCGAACGGGUGAGUAACACGUGGGCAACCUGCCCCUAACUUUGGGAUAACUACUCGAAAGAGUAGCUAAUACCGGAUAUGAAGUCUGUAGGCAUCUAUGGAUUUGGAAAGUUUUUCGGUUAGGGAUGGGCCCGCGGCCUAUCAGCUUGUUGGUGAGGUAGUGGCUCACCAAGGCGACGACGGGUAGCCGGCCUGAGAGGGUGACCGGCCACACUGGGACUGAGAUACGGCCCAGACUCCUACGGGAGGCAGCAGUGGGGAAUAUUGCACAAUGGACGCAAGCCUGAUGCAGCGACGCCGCGUGAGGGAUGACGGCCUUCGGGUUGUAAACCUCUUUCAGUAGGGACGAAGCGCAAGUGACGGUACCUACAGAAGAAGGACCGGCCAACUACGUGCCAGCCGCCGCGGUAA